Molecule: ribosomal RNA, 215 nt
Filed under: uncultured fungus
Lineage: Eukaryota; Fungi
Description: partial small subunit ribosomal RNA
Rfam family: Eukaryotic small subunit ribosomal RNA (bases 92-215)
Source: RNAcentral
GACCUGGUCGGGUGGUCCGCCUAACGGUGUGUACUGCUUGACUGGGCCUUACCUCUUGGUGAGCCGGCGUGCCCUUUAUUGGUGUGCGCCGGGGAACCAGGACUUUUACCUUGAGAAAAUUAGAGUGUUCAAAGCAGGCCUAUGCCCGAAUACAUUAGCAUGGAAUAAUAAUUUAGGACUUUGCUCCUAUUUUAUUGGUUUCUAGGGGUGAAGUA